Molecule: non-coding RNA, 131 nt
Organism: Pelobates cultripes (western spadefoot toad)
Lineage: Eukaryota; Metazoa; Chordata; Amphibia; Anura; Pelobatidae
Source: the annotation of a GenBank genome assembly
UUUAAAACGUAACUUUUAUUUGUAGUAUUAAGAGCAGAUCAACGUUUCAGUCCCUCUUGUGGACUUUCAUCAGGCUCAUCAAUGAAACGUUGAUCUGCUCUUAAUACUACAAAUAAAAGUUACGUUUUAAA